UUGUCAGGCGUCUGCGCGGUCUGAGCACUAAAGGCAGAAGCAAGCUUUGCGUGCUCUCGCCGGUGCAGGGAACAAUGGGGACCGUGUGGAGCUGUCGUUCUCACUACAGGACAUAAAAAACAUCUAGAGGGCUGAUAAAACUCUCAGAUGUUCUGAUUCAGCAGAUGUGGAGUGGAGUCCAUUAAUCUUCAAUUCUAACAAGGCAAGGAGAGCUGUGCAGGCUGCAGAGGCCCCAAGUCAGCCAGGAUGCCAUGCUGGGCUGUGUGGAUACCAUACAGCCAGUCUCGCCUGUGUCAGCCAAACUGCCGCAGCCCCUCACCCACGGCCAAGAAGAGAAACUGCCUGGAGUGCUCAAAGAGGGCAAACCUGAAUGGGAGCCUGGUCCUCACGUCCUGGAUAUAAUUCUUUAGGAGAACGUGUAAUAGCCCUAAGCCUUGCCUCCCCUCACACACAGACAGCACCGAAGGGCAUGAUCUGUUCUUUUAAGACCCUGAACAAAUGUACCCGUGACACACGGCUCUGACGUGCCGAUUGAUGCAGUCCCGGUUGUAAAAGGAUGCUAACAUAAGAUAGACAAUUCCCAAUCGCCUACUUCCUAGAUUUCACAAAAAAGCAAAAACGACGAAGAGUUAGAAAGUUGGAAAAGAGCUGAGAUCAGGAAAGGACACAGAGCGGUCCCCUGCUCUACCCGCUUGAGGGCUGUCGGACAAGGCGGGAAAGCAGGGUAAGUCGAAGACCGUAGCGUAUCGUCCUGCGGAGCAAGAAGGGCACAUGAGCCAUGGAUGAAGAUCUGACCGCUUCUAACAAAGCCCCGCUAGGACGCUAAGAGCUAAGAAAGAGGAGGCCUGGGAAAAUGAUAAGAAUGAAGAGGGAAAUGUUAUGGUGCUUAAUGAAAAACACGAUUAAAGUUUUUACGGGUUAAGGAAAGUAGGAUGUAUAGUGUCUGUAAAAAACAAUGUGAGGAAUGGAGAUGCAUUUUUAUUGAAGGAAAAAAGUAAGUUUGUUCUAGAGGAAAAUGAUUGUUCUGGAGUAAGAAUGGAAAAAAGGACAAGACCCAAACAGAUACAACAAGGUGCAAAAAGUUCAUGAAAAGGAGUCUUAUGAAAGGAAUUUUAUGUGUGGACAAGCUGUCCAAGGUUGAAAUAGAUUUAAGUUAACAAAGGGGGGGAGAUUUUUAUUCUUAAAAGUAUACUGAUACACUGCAAGAUUAGAAUUCGGUAUUCUCUUUGUUAAAAAGACAAAAUUUUCUUAAACUAUUCCUCUGCUCAUAGUAAGAAAAUAUAAACAAAGUUUGUUUGCCUUUAAUAUGGGUCAUCUUGGGAGACAAAGACUCUGUGUCUUGGGAAAAUGUUUCCUGUGCUUCACAUAGUCUUCAUCAAAUCCUUGAAUACUAAACAAAAACAAAAACUGAGUUUUCUCUAUUAAAAGAC
This is a long non-coding RNA of Manis javanica (Malayan pangolin), 1430 nucleotides long. RefSeq lists it as uncharacterized. Lineage: Eukaryota; Metazoa; Chordata; Mammalia; Pholidota; Manidae. The record is from RefSeq and is a predicted model, not a curated record.